GUAAGAGCGCAGGGUGGAUGCCUUGGCUCUCAGAGGCGAUGAAGGACGUGACAAGCUGCGAUAAGCCACGGGGAGGUGCAAAUAACCGAUGACCCGUGGAUUUCCGAAUGGGGCAACCCGGCACCGUGAAGCGGUGUCACUCCGUCUGUGACGGAGAGCGAACCCGGAGAACUGAAACAUCUAAGUACCCGGAGGAAAAGAAAACAAUAGUGAUUCCCUAAGUAGUGGCGAGCGAACGGGGAAUAGCCCAAACCAGUGUCGUUUCGGCGACACUGGGGUUGUAGGACUGCAAUAUGGAAUGAUCAUUCGAAGUAGAAUCUUCUGGAAAGUGGAACCAUAGAGGGUGAUAGUCCCGUACACGUAAGAAGGUUCAUUCCUAGCAGGAUCCUGAGUAGGGCGGGACACGAGAAAUCCUGUCUGAAUCUGCCAGGACCAUCUGGUAAGGCUAAAUACUCCUGAGAGACCGAUAGUGAACUAGUACCGUGAGGGAAAGGUGAAAAGAACCCCGAACAGGGGAGUGAAAUAGUACCUGAAACCUUGCGCUUACAAGCGGUCGGAGUCCCGUCUUUGGCGGGAUGACGGCGUGCCUUUUGCAUAAUGAGCCUACGAGUUGCUCCUCACUAGCAAGGUUAAGUCCUUCAGGGACGUAGCCGAAGCGAAAGCAAGUCUGAACAGGGCGUCUAGUUAGUGGGGGCAGACGCGAAACUUGGUGAUCUACCCAUGACCAGGUUGAAGCCCCGAUAACACGGGGUGGAGGACCGAACCAGUAGACGUUGAAAAGUCUUUGGAUGAGUUGUGGGUAGGGGUGAAAGGCCAAUCAAACUGAGAAAUAGCUCGUACUCCCCGAAAUGCAUUUAGGUGCAGCCUCGUGUUAAGUCUCAUAGAGGUAGAGCUACUGAUAAGGCUAGAGGGCUUCACCGCCUAUCAACCCUUGACAAACUCCGAAUGCUAUGAGAUGUUUCACGGGAGUGAGGCGUUGGGUGCUAAGGUCCGGCGCCAAAAGGGAAACAACCCAGACCAUCAGCUAAGGUCCCUAAAUAUAUGCUAAGUUGUUCAAACGUGGUGCGACUGCUUUGACAGCUAGGAUGUUGGCUUGGAAGCAGCCAUUCAUUUAAAGAGUGCGUAACAGCUCACUAGUCGAGCGGUCGUGCGUGGAUAAUAAUCGGGCAUGAAGCAUAUUACCGAAGCUAUGGUUCUUCCGCCUCUGGCGGGGGAAGGUAGGGGAGCAUUCCAGUUGUGCCGAAGCUGUGCCGUGAGGCAUGGUGGAACGGCUGGAAAAGAAAAUGUAGGCAUAAGUAACGAUAAAGCAGGCGAGAAACCUGCUCACCGUAAGACUAAGGUUUCCUGAUCAACGCUAAUCGGAUCAGGGUUAGUCGGGUCCUAAGGUGAAGCCGAAUGGCGUAGCCGAUGGAUAACAGGUUAAUAUUCCUGUACUGGCCAAUACUGCGAUGGGGUGACGGAGGAGUGAAAGGUCCGCGUACUGACGGAAUAGUACGUUGAAGGGUGUAGGUAUAUUCCCGGGUUAACAGCUCGGGGGUGCUGAACCUGAUAGUACCGUGAGCCUUCGGGCAAGCGGAUAGUGACCCUAAUCAGGCUUCCAAGAAAAACCUCUAAGCUUCAGGUAUUGGCUACCCGUACCGCAAACCGACACAGGUAGUCAGGGAGAGUAUCCUAAGGUGCUCGAGUGAUUCAUGGCUAAGGAACUAGGCAAAAUGGUCCUGUAACUUCGGAAUAAAGGACUCCCGCUUCUGGCGGGACGCAGAGAAAUGGCCCAGGCGACUGUUUAUCAAAAACACAAGGCUCUGCUAAAUCGAAAGAUGAUGUAUAGGGUCUGACACCUGCCCGGUGCUGGAAGGUUAAGAGGGGGGGUUAUCCCUGACAACUCGUUGGGGAGAAGCUCUGAAUCGAAGCCCCAGUAAACGGCGGCCGUAACUAUAACGGUCCUAAGGUAGCGAAAUUCCUUGUCGGGUAAGUUCCGACCUGCACGAAUGGUGUAACGAUCUGGGCACUGUCUCAGCCAUGAGCUCGGUGAAAUUGUAGUUCCGGUGAAGAUGCCGGAUACCCGCAACGGGACGGAAAGACCCCGUGAACCUUUACUACAGCUUAACAUUGGUUUUGGAUAUGCGAUGUGUAGGAUAGCUGGGAGACUGUGAAGCGGCUUCGCCAGGAGCCGUGGAGUCACCGUUGAAAUACCAGCCUUUGCUUAUCUGGAAUCUAACCCCGACAAUAUGUCAGGGGACAGUGUUUGGUGGGUAGUUUGACUGGGGUGGUCGCCUCCAAAAGAGUAACGGAGGCUCCCAAAGGUGCCCUCAGCAUGAAUGGUAACCAUGCGUAGAGUGUAAUGGCAUAAGGGCGCUUGACUGUGAGACUGACAAGUCGAUCAGGAACGAAAGUUGGGCAUAGUGAUCCGGUGGUUCCGUAUGGAAGGGCCAUCGCUCAAAGGAUAAAAGGUACUCCGGGGAUAACAGGCUGAUCGCUCCCAAGAGCUCAUAUCGACGGAGCGGUUUGGCACCUCGAUGUCGGCUCGUCACAUCCUGGGGCUGAAGAAGGUCCCAAGGGUUCGGCUGUUCGCCGAUUAAAGUGGCACGUGAGCUGGGUUCAGAACGUCGUGAGACAGUUCGGUCCCUAUCUGUUGUGGGCGUUGGAGAUUUGAGGGGGUCUGACACUAGUACGAGAGGACCGUGUUGGACAGACCGCUAGUGUACCUGUUGUGGCGCCAGCUGCACCGCAGGGUAGCUAUGUCUGGAAGAGAUAAGUACUGAAAGCAUCUAAGUACGAAGCUCGCCCCAAGAUGAGAUCUCCCUUAAGGGUCGUCCCAGACCAGGACGUUGAUAGGCUGCAGGUGUAAAGGCAGUAAUGUCAAAGCCGAGCAGUACUAAUUACCCGUGAACUUUCUGC
This 2898-nucleotide ribosomal RNA is filed under the name sediment metagenome. Its description in RNAcentral is "bacterial LSU rRNA". It matches the Rfam family "Bacterial large subunit ribosomal RNA". The record is from RNAcentral.